AUAUGUUCAAUAAUUUAUUGAUUGUUUUAAUUUCUUGAUAUUAAUAAGUAAUUUUAACAUUAAGAUAAUAUAAUAACGAGGGAUUCAAUUGAUUGCGAUAAAUAAUCAAUUUUUGCCGGCUCUUCCCGAUUGAUAUAAAGGAUCGAGAGAGAAAAGAGCGCGAAGAAAGUCUCGGUCAGUAGGUAGAAAGCUGGUUGUCACGGAGAAACAUUUUCUAUCGUCUUCGAGCGAUUUACUUCUGGAGGUCAAGCUCGCCCACGUAACCAGCUUCACUUCAGGAUUUCAGGGGCGUAUCCACGGGGCGUGUUCACGGAGUCGGUAGGAUCGACUAGGGGCGGAGUCGUUUCCCCACCGUUUCCAACGCGCGAUUUUUGCUCUCGGCAGGAACGCACACGCAUAUCCGCUAUGUAUAUACAUAUAAGUCGCUGAUUUCUCGUGUGAGUAACACCGUGACGUCGCAAGUUCGGACACGGGUCACAGACAGUAGACUUUGCCGAGUUUUCUUCGGCCGAUCGCCGGCUAAACGAUUUCUUAUGCCGCGACAUUGAACGCUUCGUUGUUGAGAAACCGCGUUACAUUUUUUUUUCUUAUAUUCUCUGUCUUUUCUUUUAACAGAGUGCGCUUCCUUAUUUGACGAACUUAUACGAAAAACAAAUCUUGUGAGUGCAUCAAGCGUCAACGAGACUUUUCAAUCAUUGUUCGGUGUUUUCUAACCUUAAUUUUUCGUUAAGUUACUAGGACUCGAAUGCGACAUAUUAAAUGUAACUUUUUUUCAUUCUUUUUUUUCAUUAUUUCAUUUCUUCUGUUCUUUCUGGAUAUAAUAUUUCCAUAGUUUGGUGGCGCGAUUGAUUGCACAUAUAGAUAUAUCUUACGUACGGUGAACGAGGGAAUAUCGCAAAUUCCGUGACGGUACGGAUGGCAAAGGCAUUCUGGCGUAGCAAUUACCUGCAGGGCGAGGGAGUCAAGUAGCAAUAUCUGGACCUGUUAUCCAGUUCGGUUAUCCCGACUGGAAUGCUUUGUGUCGCCGGCAAUCUGCAUUUCUACCUGUUUGAAUGGAAGUCUAUGAGAUUCGCGGCAUGAUUUCAAAUGAAAUCGACUCUUUGUCCUCCGGCCGGAAAUUUCCAAUUCAAUAACGUGCUCAGGGAAACGCUGCAGAAACGACUGAUUGACUGAUAUCUACCCAGAAUUGGAUGGGACGCGAAAAAAUGGAGAAGUUUUUCUAUCCAUCGUCCAUCAUCGGAGAAACUUGAAUACCUUACAUUUAGUCAAGAUUUUAGUUUUGAGUUGAAUUAUCGAAUCUUAUUAACGUUUUCCAACGUUUAAGUAUUACCUUAAAAUUUCAUAAAAUUUAAUUUUUUAAAUUUUCAUCAUUUAAGAAACAAGUAUUAAUAAAAUUAUUUGAAAUAUUGAAUUUCAAAGAAUAUAUGUUUCAAGAAAAUGUAUUGUAUUUUAGCAAGGAUUUAAGGGAAUUCUUCCAUUGGAACCUAUGAAUGACGAAUGCCAAGGAACUUGCUCGACAACCCUUUGUAAUGCAUUAGAAUUUCGCAGCUAUCAACAAGGGAGGAAGACGACAUUAGCAUCAAGGCUAAGGACACCCUUGCCUCGCAUUCGCGUCUUAGAUCGAAACAGCCCCAUGUUUUCGUUGGCCCAGUAUUCAUGAACGAGGUUUCAACGUGGGGCAUUCGACUUCCUUCUCCUUCAUGAAUUUACAAUCGACCGAAGGAUUCGCGCAAACGAAGCUUACGUGUGCCAUUUCCAAAGAGAAAUAGCAUUAAAUAUAGAAAUUUAAAUAACGAUUGUAAAAAUUUCAAACAAAUUUCACUCCCGAGUGAAGAAAAUAUCUCCUAGAUCAUAUCGCUUGAACAUUGCAUCUAUUCCCUAUAUAACUUUUUUCAUUAAUCAAUUAAUAAUAGAUAAUGGAAGAAAGAUUUAUUAAUCGUAUCAAAAACGGUAAUAAAUUCGUGGUCCAGCUAAUAAGGGCGUUAGUGUUGAAGGAAGGGAGAAAAGGGAGCAAUAAUAACGAGAAAGAUAGCAACUGAAGGUUUAGUGGACAAGGGUUAACGGGGUGAGGGAAAGCGGAUGGAGGCUGAAGCCACGUGCUGCUGUCACUGGCACAGAUUAUAUUAUAUAGGAAUGGCAGCGAAUAGGUGUAGAUAUAAGCGUCGAGCGGCAGUUAAUAAAUAUGAUAAUGGCGGGUGAAGCGAGAGAAAGAGAGGUACGUGUGGGGUGCGAUAUGGGAUACCAGUGUAUAAGAGUGACCACCAGAAGCAGAGGCCUGUCACUGUCAGGACCUCUCAUAUGUCAUACGGUAUACGCACGCACACACACAAAGGCACACGCGGCGCACGAUGACAACAUCGAGCGCGAAACGUGUGUGACCAUUUUCCCAUUUUUCUACUUCGAUGUGACGCGAUUAUACGCGAUUUCGAUAACAAAAUUUCUCGGAACAACACGUCGUCAUGUUAAUAGAUUUAUAUAAUUCUAGUAAGUGUUUACGCUCGACACGAUCGAUACAACUCGUACUUUCCUUACUUCAGACUUUUAAGAAGAAACUAUAAGAUUUGGAAAAGAAAUUGUUGAAGGAUCAUCGUGGCGUUGAUUCGCGAAAUUUCAUAAUAUCGUGACGAAAUGUUGGAAGAAAAAGAGAAGGAAGAACACGGCCGGUUUCCCCUCGGCUUUCAUUAAUCUCACUUCCGCAGCAGAAGUCGGAAACAGUUUUCUAUCAACCUUUUCCCUUUUGACCCGGUAAAUUGCGCGCGCGCGUGUACCUGCUCUGUGUAGCCGCUCUUCCAGGAGCAAUUAGUCACGGUGCUCUUGAUAAAUCGCCGGAAUCCUACCCCCGUGGGGUUAAGUCCCGGUUGCAGACCCUCGGCAAAUAUCCAAUAACAACCGGCCGACUCCUGAUGCUCUCUCUCUCUCUUUACCUGUAUGCCGGGCAUUAACCUUCACCUAUCGAAGAGAUCGGCUUACCUUAAUAAUCGUAGCUACACCGUCGCGUUCUAAGGGGGUUACGACGUUACGAGGCCAGGAACACGCGAGGGUGUUUCCAUGGUUGCUAGUCGCCAAGCUGAUUCGUUCCACGCCAUGAGAAACGGGCAUGAUCAAAAAUCGUGAGAGAUGUAAUGAAACAUUCUUAGUAUUUUCUCUUUGUCGGAGAGGAGGAGUAGAGGUUGAUUGUUGAGCUCGAUCGGGGUAUCGGUUUCUCAAUAGGGGAAGGUAAUUAGUCGAGCUUUCGUCGGAUCACUGUUGAAGAGGAUUACAUCUUUUUAUAUGUACACGUAUAAAUUGAAUUAUAAUCCAUGAUAAAAUUUUACGAUAUAACGUGUGCUGAUGAUAAUAUAGGCUUUCAUUCGUGCGGAGAAUUUUUUUAAAAAUAGAGCGAGUGUAUUUGUAAUACGAAGAAAACAAUUGCCUAUUCUGACGACUUGCUGAAUCUUGCUGAUCAGAGUCGUGUCAAUUCAAACGUAUAUUCAAUCCUUUGUCGAAUCUCGAGAGUUAAUAAGAAAAGAGGGGAAAAAUACAAGAGAGAGAGAGAGAAACGUAGGAAAAAUACAGGAUAGGAUAAAUACAUGUUUCGAUGCACUACGUAUAGCAAGUUUAAGUUUCCUUUGAAUAAGUAUCAUUUUAUUAAUAUCUCUGUCGUUAUUUACAAAACUUUGUAAUAAUCUCUAAUUUUUUUUUUUUUCACCGUCACACGCUACUCGCUAUUCGUCAAUUGUUAUAUUUCUUACGCUUUUGUGUGUACCUGUGUACGUAUGAAUCGGUAUUGUACGUGUGUAUUUGUCUUCUCGUGUGUAUGUGUUAUAUUAAUGUCGAUAAUGCUCGAGUUCGCUAAAAAUCGUUUACAGUAGAACGCGAAAUCCUUCACGGGCUCCGUCCGUUGAAAUUCACCUCUUUUCAACUUCGGGGCCGGCUUCCACCACUUAUCUCACACUCCUUCUAUCUUCGUCGCGUGUGCGCCUAAACAUCGGCAUACCACAUAUUAUAUUUACACCAUCGAAUUCACACCUGUGACCUCGUUAUCACAGCGCGCACCUUUUCACUCGCUCGCACGCUCACACACACACACACACACUCUCUCUCUCUCUCCUUUUCAUAUCCGGCACGUUUUGUUUUUCAUCUUCGUCGUUGUCGACCGUGGAAAAUCGAUUCUCUUCUACGCGAGCGAACCGCGCGCGUCACAAUUUCGCGACGGAUGCGAGAAAUAUAUAUCUCC
Long non-coding RNA from Apis cerana (Asiatic honeybee), 4216 nucleotides. RefSeq lists it as uncharacterized. The record is from RefSeq and is a predicted model, not a curated record. NCBI's taxonomy places the organism in Eukaryota, Metazoa, Arthropoda, Insecta, Hymenoptera, Apidae.